UUGGUCGGCUGUAUCAGGUGCGUCAAAAUAAACCUAAAAUGUACAGUUGAGAAGUUGGAGAUGCCGUCUGUUUCAACCAUAGACUGUUUAAAUAUAUUUCAAGUUUAUCCGCUGAAUAAAAAUAGUCUUUUGUUUUUUAAUAAUGUAAAGUCAAACAACUAAACAUGGACUGCUUCACAUCUUAUCAAUGAGGGACAAGCGAGGACAGCUCACACUGAGGAUGCUAACUUGGCAGGAACACUGGGUUACCACCUUACCACAGGUGAAAAUCAAUAAGGAGGAGGAUGAAGUAUGAAGUGGAGGACUGUCAGACUGACCUGUAUGAAACUGAAGGUAAAUGCCGCUAACUGAAGUGUCAUCAAGAAUGUGGGCUACACUGGAACCACGCAACGUCAUGCUAACAAGACAAUACAUGACAGAAGUCGCCGUUCCAAAGCUAUACCCAGACAAAGGAGACAGAGACAGACCCCGCUGCAAGUACCCCACUCUGAAACAGGUCCCUGGAUCUUCUACAGACAAAAUACACCUUUAGUUACCUGUCAGUUGAGUGGUGCUGGUACCAUUGGACGAUGCUCGCCACGUGUUCCUGUGUUUGUGAAUCUCCUGAACUCUACACAUGUAGAAACCCUGGUCCUGCCCAGUGAGAUUCAGGAUCCUGAGCCGGUACACCUCUCCCUCCACUUCCUCAUACAGACGAAACUUUGGUUGGGGGAAACGGCGGGUGUAGUUCCCAUACAUCUUCACUUUCUUUAUACCCAACUUCACGAUGAGAGUCUGAGAUGGCUCAGGUGAAGGAGAGGGGGACAGAGAGGGGGAAGGAGGGGGAGGUGAAAGUGUGGGAGCAGCAAGAGGAGAGAAGAACCAGCGGAGGAUGAGGACACUGGUGCUCCUCUUUCUCUGAGACACCAGGCAGGAGAGGGUCAUGUUGUCUUUCUCUGGGGCCAUGAUAACAGGCCCAGGGGUCACGGUCACAUUCAGGGCGUGACAUACCUCUCUGCCAAUUUCCUCUGUGCCUAUGAUGGGAAGCUCCAUUGCUGUCAAGAUAUCCUACUGCUGUGUUUCAGGCUGUUAGUCAUAAAAACUUACAGUAUCUGAUAAAACUGUAUUUUAACCCCUUCUUGAUUGAUUGAUCAGCAACUAAACAGAUAAUAGAGGGUGACAAUCUGAAGAGAGGUUUGGCGAUAUUUCAAGUUACAACAACAUAUCCUAUGCCUGCUAGCUAUUGUCCGACAAACUAACCUAUCUCAUGCUCCCAUUGGUGGGUAACAGUCCAACACCUGGUGAAUACUGCUUCACAGUGAUAGAAUUAGCUGACAUGGAAGGAUCAUAAAGCAACGUCGCUAUGAACACUUGACCACUACUACCCAGAUAGUCAGAAGUAUUUGCCCCUCUGUUCCAUGGGAGAUGUCCUAUCUAAACACCCCACCCCCCAAGAACACCUGCAACACCUUUUGACUGGAGAAAGCUGAGUCAGGUCUGUCCAGAAGAGACAUGAAGUCUGGUCGCAAUAUGUGUGAUCAGUAAGACAAAAGGAAUCUACAGGUGGGAAACAUUCAUCUUUGGUACGGUCCACCCUGAAACAGGCAGGCACAGAGCAACACGACAAGAUAACGGGGACCAUCUGUGCUGCCUGUUUUUUUCCUGUUUGUUGUUGUGUUGGUUGGGGAAUCUCCCUCAGGGUCUGUCUUAAACUAUUUAAUAUGACAACAAAAGCACAAACAGAGACUCAAACCAAACACACAACUUACCAUAACCAUAAGAUUACAGGGCAGGAAACAUGAGUUUAUGGAAGUUUAUAGAAUGCAAAUUAAUGUGAGGUUUUCUGUGAUCACAGAGAACAAACUUUUUAAAUUCCACAACUGGUUUGACCUUCAACAAUUUGUCAGUAUUACCAGUGGUGUCAUUCUGACUGAUGCACUUACAACUUUUGUUUAAGAAGUUUUUCUUGUGUUUCAUGUUAUUUUCAUGCCAGAGUUCCAGAAAAAAAGCUCAUGCUUUGCGCUUUAAAGUGCAUUAAGUUGAUAAAUCAAGUAAAUACUUCAGAGGCUCUCUUUUUUUGCUUGCCUUCUUACUGUUUUAUAUUUUUGUAAACAAGGUAAACUUACCUGUGACCAGAGCUUUAGUCAGGACAAGGACCACUAUAGAGAAGUACAUUUUCCACAGUCAGCGAAUCCAUAA
Notolabrus celidotus (New Zealand spotty) is the source of this 2178-nucleotide long non-coding RNA. RefSeq lists it as uncharacterized. Lineage: Eukaryota; Metazoa; Chordata; Actinopteri; Labriformes; Labridae. The record is from RefSeq and is a predicted model, not a curated record. The transcript has 5 exons.